Long non-coding RNA from Numida meleagris (helmeted guineafowl), 1390 nucleotides. RefSeq lists it as uncharacterized. Lineage: Eukaryota; Metazoa; Chordata; Aves; Galliformes; Numididae. The record is from RefSeq and is a predicted model, not a curated record. The transcript has 3 exons.
GGCAACAGCUACAUAGGUGGGAAAAGUUGGGAUAAGCUAAGAUGCUGGAGAAAGCACAAAGAAGGAGAGAGGAAGUAGUAAUUAGAGAGGUAGAAACCAAAGAGAAUGUGCUGAAGAGAUUGAUGUUUCUCAGAUCCCGGGAGGUACACCGGCUCUGCUUGAUACCUUCAGAAGAAGAGACUUACUCUCUGUAAAGAUCUUCUUAUGGAUGUCAUGGUGAAGGAGAAGGGAUUUAUUUGAAAAGGAUUCUUAGUCUGCUGAGGAGUCAAUUCUGAAUCACACAGGAGGCUGACAGGCAGGGUGUAAAUUCCUGGUCCACCUCACAAAUGGAUAAGAUACCACUGAUCCCCCAACACCCAGUGUUCCACUCACUGAAGUGACCUCCAUUGGCUUCUGUUUUCAAAGUAAAACAAGUAUGGAUAUUCUGCAGUGAUGAAUCCAUAAAAUCCAAUUUUGUCCCUAUUGGUACUUAUUUUGAUGUAUUUCAGUUAAAAUUAAUGGACCUAAUAUGGAAUUACAUUUUUGAAAAUUGGAGGAAAAAUUGGCCAUGUUUUUAUUGCAUAGGGGUGGAGAGAGGCUCAAUAUUUUGUAUCAACAGGAAAAGAAUCUCCAAAGGCACAAAAUAAAAAGGAAUAGUCUAUGAAUGUUUAUCAAUCAUUCUAUUCUGCUGUAAUGAAAAGUGACAAAGCCCUGAGUGGUUUUUUGUAUUUUGUAUUAACUGAUCGAUAAGGGAAACAGUAUUUUAAUAGGUGGAUUUCUCUGUUAUGUUUAUGGAGGUAGUGGCUUUUGACUGGACUUUCCAUUCUAAAUCCUUCUAGUGUUUUUUGAAGCAUUCAUACGCAUCUAACUUAUGUCUUGUAAUCAGCUUGUGAAGAAUCAGUCAUUUUAUGCUAGUGUCAAGAAGUGUCACGGAAACACAGAUGUGAAGACAACAUUGCUAAACGAAUUAAGGUUUCAGUGUCAUGUAUGAUGGAGAUCUGUAUGGCUAAGCUAAAACAGUGGGAAUUUCAUUAUACUUAAUCAUUAGAUAGAUUUGUUUCAAAUAUAAAUAGAAAUGGGCAAUAUUUUCAAACAACUGUAUGAGUUCAGACUGAUCUGCAUUAUGUGAGUCCUCGGACGACGCAUUUAUUUGUACUGAUUCAAGGGACCACUAAAAUGUACACUUCUCAAUCCCAUACGCAGUACUGUUAUUUUCUGAUUGUUUUUCUGUUUUUAAAAUGAAAACAACAAUUCUGUGCAUUUAAGUUAAGUGACGGAAGUAAGGAAAAAGUGACGAAAGGUAACUGAGAUCUAUGAAAAUAAACUGUAAGAAAUGUCCUUUCAGAUGUAGCUGUAGAACAGAACAGAUGAAAUCUAUUAAUAUAAGAAUCAAUCUGAAAUUCAAAUUGGU